This is a long non-coding RNA of Oryctolagus cuniculus (rabbit), 1710 nucleotides long. NCBI's taxonomy places the organism in Eukaryota, Metazoa, Chordata, Mammalia, Lagomorpha, Leporidae. The record is from Ensembl.
AAGACGGCGUUUCCAUCGCUUUCUACCUUACAGCAACCUGGCGGCCUCACCUCAGCGUCUGCCCUCAGAAGAUGGAGUCCCGUGCUCACGGCCGACGCAGGGCUCCCAGAACUCCCGGUGUGCCAGAGGAUCGGAGAUUCCUGGCUCCAAACUCCUGCCAGGGUCAGGAUCGCCCGCGCUCCUGUGGGUGCCGUCGGGGGUCACAGUCCGGGGUGCACAGGCGCAGAGCUGACCGCCCUGCACAGGAGCCGCGGGAGCCGCGAGCUGUUCCCGGGGAGCCGGGGGUCCUAGAAGGCUGUUACGUGGUACACAGGACGAGGCGUCGGCUAGGGAAGCGAGAGGUCCUUGGUUCUUCCUGGGUGACCAUUCCCUACUCAGCGCCCUGGAAGCAGCCUCAGAGCAGCCCUGUCACCCCGCCAUGCUGCUCAACAAAUCCGGCGCUGGAUGGGGAACCUACCUCCCAUCUGUCCCCGGCCCACUGAGGCUGGGUGGGAACCUGCCUCCCUUCUGCCCCCUGCCCACUGAGGCUGGAUGGGGAUCUGCCCUCCUGUCUGCCCCCUGCCCACUGAGGCUGGGUGGGAACCUGCCUCCCGUCUGCCCCCUGCCCACUGAGGCUGGGUGGGAACCUGCCUCCCGUCUGCCCCCUGCCCACUGAGGCUGGGUGGGAACCUGCCUCCCGUCUGCCCCCUGCCCACUGAGGCUGGAUGGAGAUCUGCCCUCCUGUCUGCCCCCUGCCCACUGAGACUGGAAGGGGAACCUGCCUCCCGCCUGCCCCCUGCCCCCCUGCCCACUGAGGCUGGGUGGGGAUCUGCCCUCCUGUCUGCCCCCUGCCCACUGAGACUGGAAGGGAAACCUGCCUCCCGUCUGCCCCCUGCCCACUGAGGCUGGGUGGGGACCUGCCCUCCUGUCUGCCCCCUGCCCACUGAGGCUGGAAGGGGCACCUGCCUCCCGCCUGCCCCCUGCCCAUCGUCCACUGGGAGCCACCUCUGCCGCUGUCCCACGCCCCCCACCCCCAGAGGCUGGCCAGGCUGGAUCCAAAAGGCGGUGCGGAGAAGAAUGCUUGAAUUCCAGUAGCUAUUUCUGUGUUGUGGAUCACACAGAAGACAGGAAUCCACCAAAUAUCUGAAACGAGUUUGUUCAGAUCGGGGCUCCACUGGCGCACACGUGGGGCUGGGAAGAGAAAACGGAUCGGGUGCCGGCGACUUGUGGCAUCUGAUGGCUUGGAUUUGGGGCACAUCUCCCCAGAGGCGCGCCCGGACCGUGCAGCCGCAGCAGCUGCUCUGUGCUCGGCUUUAAGGACCCGAAUCCUCUGUGCCUCUCGCACCUGCUGUUCUUGGAGCAGAAAAGGAGGCACACAGAGAGAGUUUUGCUGAAUCCGUGACAAGACUCAGAACCAGCGCAGGCGUUUGGCCCAGGGGUCCAGCCCCUGCGGGGCCGCCUGCACCUGUGCUGGGUCCCCACUGCUCCCAGGGUUAGCUUUCUGCUGAUGGGUGCCCUCGGGGUCAGCAGGUGCCGAGUCCCCCUCACCUGCGUGGGAAACCUGGGUUGUGUUCCUGGCCGGUGGCCCAGUCCUCGCCGCUGAGGGCAUUUGAGACUGGACCUAUGGGUGGGAGGUCUUUCUUCACCUCUCUGUCUCUUGCCUUUCAAAUCAGAUAAAAAUAAGUGAUGAUUGAAAAUAAAGCUACAAAAACUGAGAUGUAGUAUGUCUCU